CAGAGGUCUCAAGCGUUGUUCGGAAUUACUGGGCGUAAAGGGUGCGCAGGCCGCGCGGGCAGUCAAAUGUGUAAUUCAGGGGCUCAACCCCUGCACUGCGCUUGAUACUUCCGCGCUCGAGCUUUGGAGAGGAGUCUGGAAUUCUCGGUGUAGCAGUGAAAUGCGUGGAUAUCGAGAAGAACACUUAGGGCGUAGGCAAGACUCUGGACAAAUGCUGACGCUCAUGCACGAAGGCUAGGGUAGCGAACGGGAUUAGAUACCCCGGUAGUCCUAGCUGUAAACGGUGCACGUUUGGUGUGGGGAGCAACCCUCCCUGUGCCGGAGCUAACGCGUUAAACGUGCCGCCUGGAUAGUACGGUCGCAAGACUA
This 369-nucleotide ribosomal RNA is filed under the name uncultured organism. RNAcentral's name for it is "bacterial SSU rRNA". It matches the Rfam family "Bacterial small subunit ribosomal RNA", at positions 526 to 896 of the family's 1533-position model. The record is from RNAcentral.